UCAGGGGUUGGGCAUGUUCCAGGAUCUGUUUAUAGACUUCUCUCAGGAGGAAUGGGAGUGCCUGGACACUGCUCAGAAGGACUUAUACAGAAAUGUAAUGAUGGAGAACUAUAGCAGCCUGGUCUCACUAGGUCUCUCUAUCACAAAGCCUGAUGUGAUUUCCUUACUGGAGCAAGGGAAAGAGCCCUGGAUGGUUUCAAGGGACGUACCGGGAGGGUGGUGCCCAGGUGAGUAAGGACUGAGCAGAUGGGGAAGGCACUGCUGUUUAGAACCCACCCCAUCAGGGAGGCAGCACCGUAA
RNAcentral lists this long non-coding RNA (300 nucleotides) under Homo sapiens (human). RNAcentral's name for it is "non-protein coding lnc-ALG10B-10:2". Lineage: Eukaryota; Metazoa; Chordata; Mammalia; Primates; Hominidae. The record is from RNAcentral.